RNAcentral lists this ribosomal RNA (424 nucleotides) under uncultured bacterium. RNAcentral describes it as "bacterial SSU rRNA". It matches the Rfam family "Bacterial small subunit ribosomal RNA", at positions 356 to 772 of the family's 1533-position model. The record is from RNAcentral.
GGGGAAUUUUGCGCAAUGGGCGAAAGCCUGACGCAGCAACGCCGCGUGGAGGAUGAAGGUCUUUGGAUUGUAAACUCCUGUCAGCAGGGAAAAAGGGACCGGACCUAAUACGUCCGGGACUUGAUUGUACCUGCAGAGGAAGCCCCGGCUAACCCUGUGCCAGCAGCCGCGGUAAUACAGAGGGGGCAAGCGUUAUUCGGAAUUAUUGGGCGUAAAGGGCGCGUAGGCGGCUUUUCAAGUGACGGGUGAAAGCCCUCGGCUUAACCGAGGAACUGCCUGUCAGACUGGAAGGCUUGAGACCAGGAGAGGUGAGUGGAAUUCCCAGUGUAGCGGUGAAAUGCGUAGAUAUUGGGAGGAACACCAGUGGCGAAGGCGGCUCACUGGACUGGUACUGUCGCUGAGGCGCGAAAGCGUGGGGAGCAAA